Molecule: long non-coding RNA, 388 nt
Organism: Saccostrea cuccullata (small rock oyster)
Lineage: Eukaryota; Metazoa; Mollusca; Bivalvia; Ostreida; Ostreidae
Exons: 3
Source: RefSeq, a predicted model, not a curated record
GUACAUGUGUCUAUUUUAAGAGAGAAAAUGGGUAAAGCCAAAAAGAGAGUAUCACGUGCACAAAAUCGCACAAGAAAGGUCAAGACAUAUGCAUAUGCCAACCUUGCUGUGGUUGGAUUCUACACGUACAUUGCAUGUACUAGAAGUCGUCAACGGGCCAUAUUAGCUGCAGGGUAUCUUGCACGUUCAUCUCGGCGCUAUAAGAUUUAGUUCAGCUUUUCUGUUCGGUAUAUUCGAUCUGUAGCUGUUGCUUUGGGGAAAAACAUUUUACAUCAAUAUAUGACUUUUUUAGAAUUUAGAACAAUUGUUUAAGCAGCUAUUUAGAUUUCAAUGAAAUUAUGUGUGUAAAACCAUAUUUGAUAAAUAAAUUCAUAUGAUAUUAUAUUUA